GGUUUAUGUUGAUGUAUGUGAUUGGAGCUUUUCACAAUAUAUCGUGCUGCUUUUUUCUAGCCAUUUGUAUCUAUUUGUAGUAUAAUAUUUUUAGCACCAUACUGUUACUUGUUUUUUUGUACAACUACAUUUAGAUUUUAAACAUGUGAAAUUAUGUUUUUCACCGGUUUAAAUAUUUUUUAUGUUCUUUCUUUUUAUUUAAAUUUAC
Pelobates cultripes (western spadefoot toad) is the source of this 208-nucleotide non-coding RNA. The record is from the annotation of a GenBank genome assembly. NCBI's taxonomy places the organism in Eukaryota, Metazoa, Chordata, Amphibia, Anura, Pelobatidae.